Long non-coding RNA from Hippopotamus amphibius kiboko, 1139 nucleotides. RefSeq lists it as uncharacterized. The record is from RefSeq and is a predicted model, not a curated record. NCBI's taxonomy places the organism in Eukaryota, Metazoa, Chordata, Mammalia, Artiodactyla, Hippopotamidae. The transcript has 3 exons.
AUUGGUUACAUACAAGAGUAGAGAUUCAGGUAAAUACCAGCGUGUAUGCCCUUAAAUGGGCACACCUGUCUUUCUUCCAGAUUGUUCGUGUGGGUGGUUGAGUCAAGCUACUUGGUAAUCAGGCAGAUUGGGCUUUGCUGGUGCUAAUUGCCUUAAGUGAACAGAGACUUUACAUUCCCCUGGUGGUGGGCCGCCGAGACCUAGAGCCCUGCAUGGGCCCUGCGCCGCCGGAGGCUUCUGCCCAGGGUACCUGCUCCAGCCUCAGCUUUCUGCGGGUCCUGCGUGGCAUCAACAGGAUUUGCCAUGGAGACGUCUCUUCUUCUUCCUGUUACCUAAAUUCCUCAGUCAGGGGCAAGAACCCCUCUUCCUGUCCAUGAACCACAACUGUGGCGGAGUCAACAUACUCACCAGCGGGGCCUUCAAAUAACAACAGCUGCGGCAUCAACGCGAACAACUCAUCCCAAACAAAGUGCUUCUUACGGGGUGACCACUGCUGCAAACACUGCUCAUAUUAACUCCACAACGCCACUAUUGAGUGGGUACUGGUCUUGUGCAUGUUUUCUGUAGGAGCCGAGUGGUUCAUUAGUGGUUCUGUGGUCCCUCGGGUGUAAGUGGUAGUGCCUUGGUUGGAACCUAAAGGGUUUGGAUUCAGAGUCUUUGUUCUGAACUGCAGACAGCAAAAUUGCCUCCUCCUACGGGAGCUGCUGAGUUUUUCUUCCAUCUCGGCUACGUGCCGGGUACAUGAUCUUGGAUGAGGUUCUUCUCCCUGUGCCUCCCUGGGCCACCUACAAGGCGGAUCUGGUUGAUUGCAGUUGUGGGUAGGUUUCCAAUGAAUUAGUGCAUGGGCGGCAUUUAGAACUGAAAAGUCAUAAAUUCUCAAUAAAUUUUACCUGAGGUAGUGGGCAGAGCACACAAACCUUUUGGAGGUGAGUGAAAUUGGCCUGUAUCCUUUCACUGCCUGUAAUUUGCUUUGUAACUUUGAUCACAUUAAGAAGUUCUUUGGGGCCUUGUUUUUCUUUCUUUUAAAAAAAAAAUGCUGAAUGGAAAUAACCUUUGGGACGAAGUAAAUGUGCAUUUUUUCUGUGGAAAUGUAUAAUAUGGUAUCUGAAAUAAAGAGGAGUACAUCAACAGAAAUGGAA